UACGGAGGGGGCUAGCGUUGUUCGGAAUUACUGGGCGUAAAGCGCACGUAGGCGGCUUCGCAAGUCAGGGGUGAAAGCCCGGGGCUUAACCCCGGAACUGCCUUUGAGACUGCGUCGCUUGAAUCCGGGAGAGGCGGGUGGAAUUCCCGGUGUAGAGGUGGAAUGCGUAGAGAUUCGGAAGAACACCAGUGGCGAAGGCGGCCUGCUGGACCGGUAUUGACGCUGAGGUGCGAAAGCGUGGGGAGCAAACAGG
This 253-nucleotide ribosomal RNA is filed under the name uncultured bacterium. Its description in RNAcentral is "partial 16S ribosomal RNA". It matches the Rfam family "Bacterial small subunit ribosomal RNA", at positions 524 to 776 of the family's 1533-position model. The record is from RNAcentral.